UACAGAGGUGGCAAGCGUUGUUCGGAAUUACUGGGCGUAAAGGGCGCGUAGGCGGCCAUCUAAGUCAGACGUGAAAUCCCCAGGCUCAACCUGGGAACUGCGUCUGAUACUGGAUGGCUUGAAUUCGGGAGAGGGAUGCAGAAUUCCAGGUGUAGCGGUGAAAUGCGUAGAUAUCUGGAGGAAUACCGGUGGCGAAGGCGGCAUCCUGGACCGACAUUGACGCUGAGGAGCGAAAGCUAGGGGAGCAAACGGG
This 253-nucleotide ribosomal RNA is filed under the name uncultured bacterium. Its description in RNAcentral is "partial 16S ribosomal RNA". It matches the Rfam family "Bacterial small subunit ribosomal RNA", at positions 524 to 776 of the family's 1533-position model. The record is from RNAcentral.